UCGGGGAUCGUUCAAGGGUAGGACAGCAGACUCUGGAUCUGCGAAUCGAGGUUCGAAUCCUCGUCCCCGAG
RNAcentral lists this transfer RNA (71 nucleotides) under Deltaproteobacteria bacterium. RNAcentral describes it as "tRNA-Gln". It matches the Rfam family "tRNA". Rfam says of the family: Transfer RNA (tRNA) molecules are approximately 80 nucleotides in length. Their secondary structure includes four short double-helical elements and three loops (D, anti-codon, and T loops). The record is from RNAcentral. Lineage: Bacteria; Pseudomonadati; Myxococcota; Myxococcia.